Molecule: ribosomal RNA, 349 nt
Filed under: uncultured bacterium
Lineage: Bacteria
Description: bacterial SSU rRNA
Rfam family: Bacterial small subunit ribosomal RNA
Source: RNAcentral
AACGAACGUUGGCGGCGUGCCUAAUACAUGCAAGUCGAGCGAGAAACGGGUAGCAAUACCCGGAGUACAGCGGCGAAAGGGUGCGUAACACAUGAAGAACGUACCCUCCAGUUCGGGAUAACACCGCGAAAGCGGUGCUAAUACCGGAUGCCGCCGCGGUGACGCCUGUCGCUGCGGUGAAAGUCGUAAGACGCUGGAGUGAGCGCUUCAUGGCCUAUCAGCUAGUGGCGGGGUAAUGGCCCACCAAGGCUUUGACGGGUAGCCGGACUGAGAGGUCGACCGGCCACACGGGGACUGAGACACGGCCCCGACAUCUACGGAUGGCAGCAGUAGGGAAGUAUUGCGCAAU